RNAcentral lists this small RNA (3440 nucleotides) under Histoplasma ohiense. RNAcentral's name for it is "hypothetical lncRNA". The record is from RNAcentral. Lineage: Eukaryota; Fungi; Ascomycota; Eurotiomycetes; Onygenales; Ajellomycetaceae.
GCUGCUGGGAUUUUUUUUUUUUUUGAAGCCAAGAGAAAAAUACUCCAACCUCCAAUUUGUCCCACCAUCGCAUGCCAACCCACCCGACCAUGAGCAUCUAAUCUGAGUUCUUAAUCACUUCAUCGCAGAGACACCAUGCCGUCAAUUGACAGCGAUGCCUUCGGGUUCCCUGUUGCGAAGAGACAGAAGGUUGCCCCAGGCCAGCUCGUGUCUCAAGAUGCUGCUCACCCUCCGAGCUCUCGGAUAUUCUCCCCCUUCAGAACUCUAGGACUUGUAUCCCCAACUACAGUGCCAUUCACCUCCGUCCCGCUGGGCAAAACUACGUUCCAAAUCACUACAUCUGUAGGCAGAUCCCUACAGACGUAUGACCUCCGCCGUGGCCUCAGUCUCGUCUUCCUCACACGCCCUCAAACCCCCGCGGCUAUAACAGCGAUAUGCGCCUGGAAAGAUAAAGUGCUGGCUGCCUGGGGCAGUGGAUCGCUGGCCAACGAAUCCGCACAAGGUGUCUGGGUUUUCAAGCGCGGGAAGAAGAUCGGAGAGCUGCCAUUCCCCGCCUCACCAACAGCCACUGAGGGAGCAAUAGGAGCAACCGAGCCGAUUGAGCAGUUACUCGUGAUUGGCUCGUGGAUUGUUGGAUGCGGUUGCAGAACCAUACGCGUGUGGAAAUCUACGACCUUCGAGCUUUACACCACACUCAUCCCUCCCAGCCAACGAAAGACAUUGACAUCAGCAGCAUCAUCAGUGUCGUCUGGUGGCACCACUCGAGUCCUGACAGGCCGGAUAUGUAAUAUGCCAACAUACCUCAACAAGAUCUUCGCGGGCCGCCAGGAUGGUAGCAUUGAUAUCUGGAACCUCUCAACGGGGAAACUUGUCUACACCAUCCUCCCCGCAACACCAGACGCAGGCGCCGUUACUGCCAUGCAGCCCACGCCCGCCCUCUCCCUAAUCGCAAUCGCCUACAGCAGCGGAGCCCUGACCAUCCACAACGUCAGAACGGACCAGGUUGUCCUAAACCUCCGCUCCCCCGCUUCCACUUCUUCCAUUUCUUCCACCACUCCCUUCUCUCCAAUAACCUGCAUCUCCUUCCGCACUGACGAACUGGGCGCUGGCCACGACGGGCGCAAAGCAGGCGUCAUGGCCACUGCCAGCGCUGACAGCGGCGACAUCACCAUGUGGGACCUGAACAACGGUGGCAAGAUCACCGGCGUCCUGCGCGACGCACACGAGUCCUCUUCGUCAUCAUCCUCGUCUGAAGAGCCCGGCGUUAGCAAAAUCGAGUUUCUACAUGGCCAACCCGUCCUAAUAUCCACAGGCACAGAUAACGCCCUGCGUUCCUGGAUCUUCGACGAGACCCCCUUCUCCCCCGUCCCUCGAACCCUGCACUCGCGCAGCGGCCACUCGGCGCCCAUCACAACCCUCCGCUUCCUCCCGGCCUCCUCUGACGAUUCCGAUUCCGUCGGUAAAUGGAUCCUCAGCGCGAGCAAAGACCGGAGCCUAUGGGGCCUGAGUCUGCGAAAGGAUUCGCAGAGUACGGAGCUGUCGCAGGGCCAUGUGAAGUUAAAGAAGAAGAAGAGGGGCUUUGCGGGAGCGCGGAUGGAGGACUUUAAGACUCCGGAAAUUACCUGUAUGGCAUGCUCGUUGAAUAGGGACGGGGGCAUGGGGACCGCUGCUGGCGCUGCUGGUGCAAACGGGCCGGUAUGGGCUAAUGUGAAGGGCGGCACUGCGGAGGCGACCAACUUAACUGGGUGGGAGAGUGUUGUUACAGGCCAUCGGGGCGAUAAAUUUGCGAGGACGUGGUUUUGGGGGAGGAAGAAAGCUGGGCGAUGGGCUUUUGGGACGCACGAUGGAACGCAGGUUAAGAGCGUCGCGGUUUCGCCGUGUGGCACCUUUGCACUAGUCGGGUCUGCUGGUGGUUCCAUUGAUAUGUACAAUCUCCAAUCUGGCAUGCAUCGGCAGUCAUUCCCUGCGCGGGUAACCCCCGCCCAAGCAAGAAAGUUAAAAAUGAUGCAAUUGGAUGAGAUGAACGAUCUAGCGACCGGGUCCAGCGGCAAAAGAAGCUUCCAAAUGGGCGAAGGAAAACAUACCAGUGCCGUUACUGGGCUGAUGGUUGACGCAUUGAAUACGACGGUUAUAAGCUGCGGGCUUGAUGGGAAAGUGAAGUUCUGGCAAUUCCUCACGGGCCAACUGCUCCACGAGCUAGAUUGGCACCCCAUGUGUUCCAUCACGGGUCUCCGCGCCAAUACCUCCAGCGACCUCAUCGCGCUAAGCUGCGACGACCUCUCCAUCCGCGUUAUCGACAUCGAGACGCGCAAACUCGUGCGCGAGCUCUGGGGCGCCAUGGGCCAGAUCAACGACUUCUGCAUCUCCAACGACGGCCGCUGGAUCAUUGCCGCGUCCAUGGACUCCGUGAUUCGCGUCUGGGACCUGCCGACAGGCCAUCUCAUCGACGCGUUCCGGCUGGCGAAUACAUGCACGGCGCUCGCGAUGUCGGCGACGGGCGAGUUCCUGGCGACGGCGCAUGCGGAUGGAGUCGGGGUUAAUAUCUGGAACAACCGGAGCUUGUUCACGCAUGUGCCGACGAAACAUAUUGAGGAGGAUGCUAUAGUGGAGGUCAGUGCGCCGACGGCGUCUGGGGAGGGUGGGGCGGCUGUCUUAGAAGCGGCAUUUGAGGAGGAUGCGCGGGAGGGCCGUGGUGAGGACUAUCCUGUGUUGUCGACGGAGCAGCUGAGUGGUGAUAUGAUGACGUUGAGUAUUACGCCGAAGAGCAGGUGGCAGACACUCUUGCAUCUGGAUAUUAUCAAGGAAAGAAACAAGCCCAAAGAACCGCCCAAGGUCCCGCAGAAAGCGCCAUUCUUCCUCCCUUCAACCCUCUCAAAGCCGGACUCCGACUCAUCCAUGCAACUUGUCUCCGCGCCAGAAGCAGCAGCAGAAGGCAGCUCAGGAACCAAGAAGACCACGCCAGCCGAACGAUCCCGGAUCGCCAAGCUCCAACUCGCCAAUGACCCCAGCAUGCAACCCUCAACUUUCAGCGCCCUCCUCCACUCAUGCUCCUCUGACAGCAACAACGGUAACAACGGUAACAGCAGUAACAGCAGUAACAGCAGUAACAGCAACCACUACGCGCCAUUCAUCGAGUACCUCAAAUCCCUGCCGCCCGCCAAAGCCGAUCUAGAAAUCCGCUCUCUCGACCCGGGCCUACUUAGCGGGCGCAAGCAGGGCAUGAACGAGCUGGUGGCGUUCGUGGAGGCGCUGACCGCACAGCUGAGGACGAGGAGGGACUUUGAGCUUGUGAAUGCGUGGAUGGCUGUGUUCUUGAAGGUGCAUGGGGAUGUUGCUGUUGAAGGGGAGAGUGUUGGUGCUGAUGCUGAUGCUGGUGUUGGUGCUGGUGCUGGUUUUCGGGAUGGGGGUGGGGACGACAACGAGGCAGAGACUACACGGGC